RNAcentral lists this ribosomal RNA (253 nucleotides) under uncultured bacterium. RNAcentral describes it as "partial 16S ribosomal RNA". It matches the Rfam family "Bacterial small subunit ribosomal RNA", at positions 524 to 776 of the family's 1533-position model. The record is from RNAcentral.
GACGGAGGGAGCAAGCGUUGUUCGGAUUUACUGGGCGUAAAGGGCGUCUAGGCGGAUUGGUAAGUCAGGUGUGAAAUCCCCCGGCUCAACCGGGGACCUGCACUUGAUACUGUCAGUCUUGAGUACGGAAGAGGAAAGCGGAAUUCCUGGUGUAGCGGUGAAAUGCGUAGAUAUCAGGAAGAACACCGGUGGCGAAGGCGGCUUUCUGGUCCGUUACUGACGCUGAAGCGCGAAAGUGUGGGGAGCAAACAGG